Molecule: ribosomal RNA, 458 nt
Filed under: Typhlatya iliffei
Lineage: Eukaryota; Metazoa; Arthropoda; Malacostraca; Decapoda; Atyidae
Description: partial 16S ribosomal RNA
Rfam family: Archaeal large subunit ribosomal RNA
Source: RNAcentral
GGCCUGCCCACUGAGUUAUUAAAGGGCCGCGGUAUUUGGACCGUGCUAAGGUAGCAUAAUCAAUAGUCUUUUAAUUGGAGUCUAGAAUGAAAGGUCGGAUGGAGUAUAAUUUGUCUGCGAGUAUAAAAGUUGAACUUUACUUUUAAGUGAGAAGGCUUAAAUUAGUUAGUGGGACGAUAAGACCCUGUGAAGCUUUAUAUUUGUUUAACUUUAAUUUUUAAUAUUUGUGUGUUUAAAUUUAAAAUUAACAGAUAUUGUGUUGGGGCGACCAGAAUAUAUUUUUAACUGUUCUUGUUUGGUAAAUAAAUGAUUUUUAGAGAGUUGAUCCUUUAUUAAGGAUUAUAAGAUUUAAGUUACUCCAGGGAUAACAGCGUAAUUCUUUUUGAGAGUUCUUAUCGACAAAAGUAUUUGCGACCUCGAUGUUGAAUUAAGGUUUCAUUAAGAUGCAGGUGUCUUAA